Pteronotus mesoamericanus is the source of this 210-nucleotide small nucleolar RNA. RefSeq annotates it as small nucleolar RNA U3. The record is from RefSeq and is a predicted model, not a curated record. The transcript has a single exon. Lineage: Eukaryota; Metazoa; Chordata; Mammalia; Chiroptera; Mormoopidae.
UGGACCCCGAACAGUAUUCCUCAUAAAAGUUUGUAGAAAAUCAUCUUCCACAAGGAGGAGGCACAGGGCUCUCCCCUGGGUGGGAAGCUGGUUCCUGGUGUUGCUUCUUGGCAACCGCCAUAUGCCAUUGAUGACUUCUCUUUUCUUCCUUUGUGAGGGAGACGACAUCAUGUUUUAAAAAAGAAAAAAAAAAGCAGGGCAGGGAGUGGG